Molecule: unclassified non-coding RNA, 376 nt
Filed under: uncultured Actinomycetes bacterium
Lineage: Bacteria; Bacillati; Actinomycetota; Actinomycetes
Description: uncultured actinobacterium contains 16S-23S intergenic spacer region
Source: RNAcentral
UCCGAGUUGACCCCGGCAGUUUCCCAUGAGUCCCCGGCAUCACCCGCUGGCAACAUAGGACAAGGGUUGCGCUCGUUGCGGGACUUAACCCAACAUCUCACGACACGAGCUGACGACAGCCAUGCACCACCUGUACACCGGCCUUGCGGAGGCCGUGUCUCCACGGCUUUCCAGUGUAUGUCAAACCCAGGUAAGGUUCUUCGCGUUGCAUCGAAUUAAUCCACAUGCUCCGCCGCUUGUGCGGGCCCCCGUCAAUCCCUUUGAGUUUUAACCUUGCGGCCGUACUCCCCAGGCGGAUGACUUAAUGCGUUAGCUACGGCACGGAAAGCGUGAAUGCUCCCCACACCUAGCGCCCAACGUUUACAGCGUGGACUAC